Molecule: ribosomal RNA, 543 nt
Filed under: Penicillium sp. LF46
Lineage: Eukaryota; Fungi; Ascomycota; Eurotiomycetes; Eurotiales; Aspergillaceae
Description: eukaryotic LSU rRNA
Rfam family: 5.8S ribosomal RNA (bases 181-334)
Source: RNAcentral
GGGACUCGAGUGCGAGCUCGCGGCUCACCUCCCACCCUUGUCUCUCUACACCUGUUGCUUUGGCGGGCCCACCGGGGCCACCUGGUCGCCGGGGGACGAACGUCCCCGGGCCCGCGCCCGCCGAAGCGCCCUGUGAACCCUGAUGAAGAUGGGCUGUCUGAGUACGAUGAAAAUUGUCAAAACUUUCAACAAUGGAUCUCUUGGUUCCGGCAUCGAUGAAGAACGCAGCGAAAUGCGAUAAGUAAUGUGAAUUGCAGAAUUCCGUGAAUCAUCGAAUCUUUGAACGCACAUUGCGCCCCCUGGCAUUCCGGGGGGCAUGCCUGUCCGAGCGUCAUUUCUGCCCUCAAGCACGGCUUGUGUGUUGGGUGUGGUCCCCCCGGGGACCUGCCCGAAAGGCAGCGGCGACGUCCGUCUGGUCCUCGAGCGUAUGGGGCUUUGUCACUCGCUCGGGAAGGACCUGCGGGGGUUGGUCACCACCAUAUUUUUACCACGGUUGACCUCGGAUCAGGUAGGAGUUACCCGCUGAACUUAAGCAUAUCAUAA